This 509-nucleotide ribosomal RNA is filed under the name uncultured bacterium. RNAcentral describes it as "bacterial SSU rRNA". It matches the Rfam family "Bacterial small subunit ribosomal RNA", at positions 36 to 518 of the family's 1533-position model. The record is from RNAcentral.
CUGGCGGCGUGCCUAAUACAUGCAAGUCGAACGGUCUUUCUAUGGAAGCUUGCUUCCACUGAGAAGAUAGUGGCGAACGGGUGAGUAACACGUGGGUAACCUGCCCAUAAGAGGGGGAUAACAUCCGGAAACGGGUGCUAAUACCGCAUAGUUUUCUUGAUCGCAUGAUCGGGAAAGGAAAGACGGCCUUUGUGCUGUCGCUUAUGGAUGGACCCGCGGCGUAUUAGUUAGUUGGUGAGGUAACGGCUCACCAAGACGAUGAUACGUAGCCGACCUGAGAGGGUGAUCGGCCACAUUGGGACUGAGACACGGCCCAAACUCCUACGGGAGGCAGCAGUAGGGAAUCUUCCGCAAUGGACGAAAGUCUGACGGAGCAACGCCGCGUGAGUGAAGAAAGGUUUUCGGAUCGUAAAACUCUGUUGUCAGAGAAGAACAAGUUGGAGAGUAACUGCUCCAGCCUUGACGGUAUCUGACCAGAAAGCCACGGCUAACUACGUGCCAGCCGCGGC